RNAcentral lists this transfer RNA (64 nucleotides) under Cerace xanthocosma. RNAcentral's name for it is "tRNA-Val". The record is from RNAcentral. Lineage: Eukaryota; Metazoa; Arthropoda; Insecta; Lepidoptera; Tortricidae.
CAAAUUAGAGUUUGAAUAAACAUUUCAUUUACAUUGAAAAAAUAAUAAAUUUUAUUUAAUUUGA